RNAcentral lists this long non-coding RNA (633 nucleotides) under Marmota monax (woodchuck). Lineage: Eukaryota; Metazoa; Chordata; Mammalia; Rodentia; Sciuridae. The record is from RNAcentral.
GGAAAGGGGGAAUAUGUGGGGAGCCACUCUGAAUGACCCACACCUUCCAUCCUGAAGUGAGAGGCUUUGGCCAGUCACUACAUUUCAUAGUGACCUGGACAUUGUCCUGGUUCAGGAAGUUGAGGGCAUGUCUUCAGAUGUAGGUGUGUCACCCAUGGAGUUGAGCUACAUUCACCUGUUCCUUUGUAAUACUACCUCUUUGCCCUGUUUGGGAUAGAAUGUUCCAUGGAAAUGCCCUUUGUGUGUCCCCUUCUCUUGCUCUGCCUUUGGGUGUGGCCUUUCUAGAUGUCAGUCAACUAGACUCAACUCCCUGAAACCUGAUCCCUUGCCUCAUUUGAAUGGCUUCUCCUCAAUAAAAGGGUUCAGCAUGUGUGCCCUCUCUCUCUCUCUCUCUCUCUCUCUCUCUCUCCCCCCAUCUCUUUCUGUGGACCCUUAAGGUCAGAGGUGCAGUCACAGGACCCCAAAGAAAAAGGUAUCUCUGUCUCUUGUGUGGUUAUUUCAUGCAGCCCAGUUCCCCUGGAGUGACCCUGAGUGUUUUAGUCGUGAGGAACAUGACAGAUACUCAUAGUACACCCAUCUACGUGAUGGGAUUUAAGCAUACUGGUUGCAGUAGAAACCUAACUACAUGUUUGC